This 239-nucleotide long non-coding RNA is filed under the name Lathyrus oleraceus (garden pea). RNAcentral describes it as "Pisum sativum (pea) long non-coding RNA (PSAT_LNC038518)". Lineage: Eukaryota; Viridiplantae; Streptophyta; Magnoliopsida; Fabales; Fabaceae. The record is from RNAcentral.
UUUUUUCCAAACUAUUUUUUAUUUAUCAAUUUAAUAAAAAAAACUAUAUUUUUUAUUUUUAAUUAUUUAAAAGAUCAAUCCAAAAAUCUGCGUGACCGACGAGAUGAGUUGGGUCUAUUUUACAAAUAAUCUCCUAGAAUUUAAUUUUUGAAAAAUUAAACAUUACUUUAUUUAAUUUCUAUCUUUUGUAACAUUGGUUAACAAGACUAUUUAAGACCGAAAAACUAGGUUCACAAAAG